UGGGGAAUUUUGCACAAUGGGCGAAAGCCUGAUGCAGCAACGCCGCGUGUGUGAUGAAGGUCUUCGGAUCGUAAAGCACUUUCGACCGGGACGAACAACCUCUGGCUAACAGUCAGGGGCCUGACGGUACCGGGAGAAGAAGCACCGGCUAACUCUGUGCCAGCAGCCGCGGUAAUACAGAGGGUGCAAGCGUUGUUCGGAAUUAUUGGGCGUAAAGCGCGUGUAGGCGGCUUGUUAAGUCGGGUGUGAAAGCCCUCAGCUCAACUGAGGAAGGGCGCCUGAAACUGGCGAGCUUGAGUGUCGGAGAGGAUGGCGGAAUACCCCAAGUAGAGGUGAAAUUCGUAGAUAUGGGGUGGAACACCGGUGGCGAAGGCGGCCAUCUGGACGACAACUGACGCUGAGACGCGAAAGCGUGGGGAGCAAACAGGAUUAGAUACCCUGGUAGUCCACGCCGUAAACGAUGAGAACUAGGUGUCGUGGGUGUUGACCCCUGCGGU
This 497-nucleotide ribosomal RNA is filed under the name uncultured Pseudomonadota bacterium. RNAcentral's name for it is "bacterial SSU rRNA". It matches the Rfam family "Bacterial small subunit ribosomal RNA", at positions 355 to 844 of the family's 1533-position model. Lineage: Bacteria; Pseudomonadati; Pseudomonadota. The record is from RNAcentral.